Molecule: long non-coding RNA, 437 nt
Filed under: Panax ginseng (ginseng)
Lineage: Eukaryota; Viridiplantae; Streptophyta; Magnoliopsida; Apiales; Araliaceae
Description: long non-coding RNA (PGIN_LNC000741)
Source: RNAcentral
AAUGAAUGGAUAGCAGUCGACAGACUAUGAACUUUGUUUUCAAUUUUUGAAAAGGUUAUACAGAACUUCAUCUGCAAAGCAUCAUGUCUUACAAGCACGGAGGGUAAUCAUCCUGUUAUGCCUUGUAUUGAUCAAUACUACUUGCUAGAAUGAUAUUUUCGUUCAUCAUAUCCGCCUUUGGCACACAAAAGUUUCCUAGAUUCGGGAUGUUCAUACUUAGUCUGGAAUCCAAACCAAAACAAUUCGGUUGGAUAACAAUAAUAUUUAUCAUGUUCAACGAUUUUUUUUAAAUCCAUGUCUAGUCGAGUCAAAUAGCUUAGACGGCUUUUAAUUAAUAUAUACAUACCAGAAUUGAAUAAGUAUGUACCAACAAGUACAACCAUUAUCCAAGUGAGGACACUUGCAUGACCAAACCUAGCUAUUAACGAACAUGGUAU